CUACGGGCGGCAGCAGUGAGGAAUAUUGCACAAUGGGGGGAACCCUGAUGCAGCAACGCCGCGUGGAGGAUGACGCAUUUCGGUGUGUAAACUCCUUUUAUAUGUCAAGAAAACGACGGUAGCAUAUGAAUAAGCACCGGCUAACUCCGUGCCAGCAGCCGCGGUAAUACGGAGGGUGCAAGCGUUACUCGGAAUCACUGGGCGUAAAGGACGCGUAGGCGGGUUGGAAAGUCAGGUGUGAAAUCCUACAGCUUAACUGUAGAACUGCACUUGAAACUUCUAAUCUAGAGUAUGGGAGGGGGAGAUGGAAUUAGCGGUGUAGGGGUAAAAUCCGUAGAUAUCACUAGGAAUACCUAAAGCGAAGGCGAUCUCCUGGAACAUUACUGACGCUAAGGCGUGAAAGCGUGGGGAGCAAACAGGAUUAGAUACCCUAGUAGUC
RNAcentral lists this ribosomal RNA (439 nucleotides) under uncultured bacterium. RNAcentral's name for it is "partial 16S ribosomal RNA". It matches the Rfam family "Bacterial small subunit ribosomal RNA", at positions 339 to 795 of the family's 1533-position model. The record is from RNAcentral.